GAUGAACGCUAGCGAUAGGCUUAACACAUGCAAGUCGGGGGGUAACAUGGGAGUAGCUUGCUGCUUCUGAUGACGACCGGCGGAUGGGUGAGUAACGCGUAUGCAACUUGCCUCUUAGUGGGGAAUAACCCGGAGAAAUCCGGACUAAUGCCGCAUACACUUAGUUAUCCGCAUGGAUGAUUAAGGAAAGAUUUAUUGCUAAGAGAUAGGCAUGCGUUCCAUUAGUUAGUUGGUGAGGUAACGACUCACCAAGGCAUCGAUGGAUAGGGGAGCUGAGAGGCUUAUCCCCCACAUUGGGACUGGGACACGGCCCAA
RNAcentral lists this ribosomal RNA (315 nucleotides) under uncultured bacterium. RNAcentral's name for it is "bacterial SSU rRNA". It matches the Rfam family "Bacterial small subunit ribosomal RNA", at positions 28 to 334 of the family's 1533-position model. The record is from RNAcentral.